Molecule: transfer RNA, 74 nt
Filed under: Acidimicrobiaceae bacterium
Lineage: Bacteria; Bacillati; Actinomycetota; Acidimicrobiia; Acidimicrobiales; Acidimicrobiaceae
Description: tRNA-Cys
Rfam family: tRNA
About the family: Transfer RNA (tRNA) molecules are approximately 80 nucleotides in length. Their secondary structure includes four short double-helical elements and three loops (D, anti-codon, and T loops).
Source: RNAcentral
GCCGGGGUGCCCGAGUGGACUAAGGGGACUGCCUGCAAAGCAGUGAUUCACGGGUUCAAAUCCCGUCUCCGGCU